RNAcentral lists this ribosomal RNA (253 nucleotides) under uncultured prokaryote. RNAcentral's name for it is "partial 16S ribosomal RNA". It matches the Rfam family "Bacterial small subunit ribosomal RNA", at positions 524 to 776 of the family's 1533-position model. The record is from RNAcentral.
UACGUAGGCAGCAAGCGUUGUUCGGAGUUACUGGGCGUAAAGGGUGCGUAGGCGGCCCUGUAAGUGUGGUGUGAAAUCUCCCGGCUUAACUGGGAGGGUGCGCUACAGACUGCAGGGCUAGAGUGUGGGAGAGGAAAGUGGAAUUCCUGGUGUAGCGGUGAAAUGCGUAGAUAUCGGGAGGAUCACCAGUGGCGAAGGCGAUCACCUGGGGUUGUUCUGACGCUGAGGAGCGAAAGCUAAGGGAGCAAACGGG